Molecule: long non-coding RNA, 391 nt
Filed under: Chlamydomonas reinhardtii
Lineage: Eukaryota; Viridiplantae; Chlorophyta; Chlorophyceae; Chlamydomonadales; Chlamydomonadaceae
Description: long non-coding RNA (CREI_LNC000057)
Source: RNAcentral
CGGAGGGCCCCGUGCCCGCCACCGCCCGCGACUACAAGGCCCGCGGCCUGCCGUGGGUGGUGGUCGGUGACGAGAACUACGGCGAGGGCAGCAGCCGCGAGCACGCCGCGCUGGAGCCCCGCCACCUGGGCGGCGUGGCCAUCAUCGUGAAGUCGUUCGCGCGCAUCCACGAGACUAACCUGAAGAAGCAGGGUAUGCUGCCCGUGACCUUCGCCAACCCCGCCGACUACGACAAGAUUGACCCCACCGACACCAUCUCCAUCGUGGGCCUGAAGACCUUCGCGCCCGGCGUGCCGCUCAAGGUGGUGGGCAAGAAGAAGGACGGCUCGACCUACGAGUUCCCCGUCAACCACACCUUCAACGACAACCAGAUCAGCUGGUUCAAGGCCGG